This 383-nucleotide ribosomal RNA is filed under the name uncultured eukaryote. RNAcentral describes it as "partial 18S ribosomal RNA". It matches the Rfam family "Eukaryotic small subunit ribosomal RNA", at positions 592 to 976 of the family's 1831-position model. The record is from RNAcentral.
CAAUAGCGUAUAUUAAAGUUGUUGCAGUUAAAAAGCUCGUAGUUGGAUUUCUGGUGGGAGCGAUCGGUCUGGCGCUUAGCGCGAGUACUUGCAUCGUCUCCGGCCAUCCUUGGGGAGAGUCUGUCUGGCAUUAAGUUGUCGGGCAGAGGAUCCUCAUCGUUUACUGUGAAAAAAUUAGAGUGUUCAAAGCAGGCUUAUGCCGUUGAAUAUAUUAGCAUGGAAUAAUAAGAUAGGACUUUGGUACUAUUUUGUUGGUUUGCGCACCAAGGUAAUGAUUAAUAGGGACAGUUGGGGGUAUUCGUAUUCCGUUGUCAGAGGUGAAAUUCUUGGAUUUACGGAAGACGAACUACUGCGAAAGCAUUUACCAAGGAUGUUUUCAUUAA